RNAcentral lists this ribosomal RNA (491 nucleotides) under uncultured bacterium. RNAcentral describes it as "partial 16S ribosomal RNA". It matches the Rfam family "Bacterial small subunit ribosomal RNA", at positions 29 to 506 of the family's 1533-position model. The record is from RNAcentral.
AGUGAACGCUGGCGGUAGGCCUAACACAUGCAAGUCGAACGGCAGCACAGUAAGAGCUUGCUCUUACGGGUGGCGAGUGGCGGACGGGUGAGGAAUACAUCGGAAUCUACUUUUUCGUGGGGGAUAACGUAGGGAAACUUACGCUAAUACCGCAUACGACCUACGGGUGAAAGCAGGGGAUCUUCGGACCUUGCGCGAUUGAAUGAGCCGAUGUCGGAUUAGCUAGUUGGCGGGGUAAAGGCCCACCAAGGCGACGAUCCGUAGCUGGUCUGAGAGGAUGAUCAGCCACACUGGAACUGAGACACGGUCCAGACUCCUACGGGAGGCAGCAGUGGGGAAUAUGGGACAAUGGGCGCAAGCCUGAUCCAGCCAUACCGCGGGGGUGAAGAAGGCCUUCGGGUUGUAAAGCCCUUUUGUUGGGAAAGAAAAGCAGCAGGUUAAUACCCCGCUGUUCUGACGGGACCCAAAGAAUAAGCACCGGCGAACUGCGU